CCUACGGGAGGCAGCAGUGAGGAAUAUUGGUCAAUGGGCGAGAGCCUGAACCAGCAAAGUCGCGGGAAGGAUGACGGCCCUACGGGUUGUAAACUUCUGUUGUCAGGGAGCAAUUGAGUCCAAGUGUUGGCUUAGCGAGAGUACCUGAAGAAAAAGAAUCGGCUAACUCCGUGCCAGCAGCCGCGGUAAUACGGAGGAUGCGAGCGUGAUCCGGAUGUAUUAGGUUUAAAGGGGACGUAGGCGGAAUAUCAAGGCAGCGGUAAAAAUUCGGGGGUCAACCCCGUCGUGCCGUUGAAACUGAUGUUCUUGAGUGGGCGAGAAGUAUGCGGAAUGCGUGGUGUAGCGGUGACAUGCAUAGAUAUCACGCAGAACUCCGAUUGCGAAGGCAGCAUACCGGCGCCCAACUGACGCUGAAGCACGAAAGCGUAGGUAUCGAACAGGAUUAGAUACCCCAGUAGUC
This 460-nucleotide ribosomal RNA is filed under the name uncultured bacterium. Its description in RNAcentral is "partial 16S ribosomal RNA". It matches the Rfam family "Bacterial small subunit ribosomal RNA", at positions 338 to 795 of the family's 1533-position model. The record is from RNAcentral.